This 1443-nucleotide ribosomal RNA is filed under the name Triticum aestivum (bread wheat). Its description in RNAcentral is "partial small subunit ribosomal RNA". The record is from RNAcentral. Lineage: Eukaryota; Viridiplantae; Streptophyta; Magnoliopsida; Poales; Poaceae.
AUGGCGGCGGACGCGCUCCAGGACAGGUCCGCCUCGGGCGGUCCUCGUGUGGCGUUCGCAUGCGGCGUGUGGAGCGACCUUUCGCGGCCGCUGAAGCCGGCCUUCCGCGAGGCCGUCGUGGGCACGUACAAGGCCGAGGCGAGCACAGUCAACUUCCAGGGCGCACCGGAGGAAACGCGUGGCCAGAUCAACGCGUGGGCGGCUCAGGUGACCAGGAACCUCAUCCGCAACGUUCUCCCCAAAGGAUCGAUAAAUCCGGCAACAACUCGGGUCGUCCUCGGCAACGCCAUGUACUUUAAGGGCAAGUGGGAGGACCAGCCGUUCGACAGGAGGUACACCGUGCACGAACCCUUCCACCGGCUCGCCCGCAGCCAGGUCGCCGUGCCCUUCAUGCAGAGUACGAUGUCGCAGUUCGUCGCCGUGCACGACGGGUUCAAGGUACUAAAACUCCGGUACAAAAUGGUUGCGCCAGAUCACGAGGAACAUGUGCAUCCUCCUCCUUAUUUGGGCUUGAUUCUCAUCGUCCCUAUCCCAUGGUGCAACCAUGGCCGUGUUGGUCAGUCCGGUGAGUAUGGCGGCCCCGACCAUGGUGCUCCUUAUUCCCAUGCCCAUGUGAGGGCUUCAUACAACCGUCGGGGUCGGUCUGCAAAUUAUAUUUCCACCGGACCCCCACCAUACUUCCGUCAUCGUCCCUAUCCUCCUCCUCCAUUCCGCAACCCCACCUCUCCGUACGCCUAUCCCAGGCCAUAUCCUAAUGGUGCACUUGGUCGGUUUGGCCACCCUCCUAACCCACCAUAUAUCGCCCUCCCCCAUGUUCCAGGUCGGACUGGCUACCCUGGUAAUGCAUUUGGCAACCGCUACAAGCCUGAUCCUUGGGCAGGCAACGCCUAUCCAUCCCAGUGUGCUGCUCGGUCGGUGUUCUCCGGCUCCAAUCGUACCGGGUACACACAGUUCUCCAUGUGCAUAUUUCUCCCGGACGCCCAUGACGGCCUGUGGGGGCUGCUGGACACGAUUGCGUCCCGACCUGGGUUCCUGCACGACCACCUGCCGGAGCAGCAAAUCGCCCUCCGCGAGUUCCGGAUGCCAAAGUUCAAGCUGUCCUUCCAUAGCAGCAUCGUCGCCGUGCUCAAGAAGCUAGGGCUUGAGCUGCCGUUCUGUGAGCGUGGCAACCUAUCUGAAAUGGUGGAGGGCGAUGGCUCUGGCUUGCCGAUAGUGGUGGGGGAUGUUAUCCACAAGGCUGUUGUCGAGGUAAAUGAGGAAGGAACUGAAGCCGCCGCUGUCACUGUGUUGGUUGGGGCUCUUGGAUGCGCAAGGCCUCCGUCACCUCCAACACCUCCGCAGGUGGAUUUCAUUGCCGACCAUCCAUUUGCCUACUACAUAGUGGAGGAGGCAACCGGAGCUGUUGUCUUCGCGGGGCACGUCCUCGACCCUUCCAAGGAGUAA